Molecule: ribosomal RNA, 305 nt
Filed under: uncultured bacterium
Lineage: Bacteria
Description: bacterial SSU rRNA
Rfam family: Bacterial small subunit ribosomal RNA
Source: RNAcentral
UUCCUCCUACGGGGGGCAGCAGUGAGGAAUAUUGGUCAAUGGGCUUACGCCUGAACCAGCCAAGUCGCGUGAGGGAAGACUGCCCUAUGGGUUGUAAACCUCUUUUGUCAGGGAGCAACGCCGGCUACGUGUAGCCGGACUGAGAGUACCUGAAGAAAAAGCAUCGGCUAACUCCGUGCCAGCAGCCGCGGUAAUACGGAGGAUGCGAGCGUUAUCCGGAUUUAUUGGGUUUAAAGGGUGCGUAGGCGGACGCUUAAGUCAGCGGUAAAAUUGCGGGGCUCAACCUCGUCGAGCCGUUGAAACUG